CCCUUAGAUGUUCUGGGCCGCACGCGCGCUACACUGACGAAUGCAACGAGCUUAUAACCUUGGCCGAAAGGUCUGGGUAAUCUCCAAAUUUCGUCGUGAUGGGGAUAGAUUAUUGCAAUUAUUAAUCUUCAACGUGGAAUGCCUAGUAAGCGCAAGUCAUCAGCUUGCGUUGAUUACGUCCCUGCCCUUUGUACACACCGCCCGUCGCUCCUACCGAUUGAAUGGUCCGGUGAAGCGUUCGGACCGUGGCCUUUGGACGGUUCGCCGUCUGUUGGCUGCGGGAAGUUCGUUAAACCUUAUCAUUUAGAGGAAGGAGAAGUCGUANCA
This 327-nucleotide ribosomal RNA is filed under the name uncultured eukaryote. RNAcentral's name for it is "partial 18S ribosomal RNA". It matches the Rfam family "Eukaryotic small subunit ribosomal RNA", at positions 1470 to 1796 of the family's 1831-position model. The record is from RNAcentral.